This 1550-nucleotide ribosomal RNA is filed under the name Klebsiella pneumoniae. Its description in RNAcentral is "bacterial SSU rRNA". It matches the Rfam family "Bacterial small subunit ribosomal RNA". The record is from RNAcentral. Lineage: Bacteria; Pseudomonadati; Pseudomonadota; Gammaproteobacteria; Enterobacterales; Enterobacteriaceae.
AAAUUGAAGAGUUUGAUCAUGGCUCAGAUUGAACGCUGGCGGCAGGCCUAACACAUGCAAGUCGAGCGGUAGCACAGAGAGCUUGCUCUCGGGUGACGAGCGGCGGACGGGUGAGUAAUGUCUGGGAAACUGCCUGAUGGAGGGGGAUAUCUACUGGAAACGGUAGCUAAUACCGCAUAAUGUCGCAAGACCAAAGUGGGGGACCUUCGGGCCUCAUGCCAUCAGAUGUGCCCAGAUGGGAUUAGCUAGUAGGUGGGGUAACGGCUCACCUAGGCGACGAUCCCUAGCUGGUCUGAGAGGAUGACCAGCCACACUGGAACUGAGACACGGUCCAGACUCCUACGGGAGGCAGCAGUGGGGAAUAUUGCACAAUGGGCGCAAGCCUGAUGCAGCCAUGCCGCGUGUGUGAAGAAGGCCUUCGGGUUGUAAAGCACUUUCAGCGGGGAGGAAGGCGUUAAGGUUAAUAACCUUGUCGAUUGACGUUACCCGCAGAAGAAGCACCGGCUAACUCCGUGCCAGCAGCCGCGGUAAUACGGAGGGUGCAAGCGUUAAUCGGAAUUACUGGGCGUAAAGCGCACGCAGGCGGUCUGUCAAGUCGGAUGUGAAAUCCCCGGGCUCAACCUGGGAACUGCAUUCGAAACUGGCAGGCUAGAGUCUUGUAGAGGGGGGUAGAAUUCCAGGUGUAGCGGUGAAAUGCGUAGAGAUCUGGAGGAAUACCGGUGGCGAAGGCGGCCCCCUGGACAAAGACUGACGCUCAGGUGCGAAAGCGUGGGGAGCAAACAGGAUUAGAUACCCUGGUAGUCCACGCCGUAAACGAUGUCGAUUUGGAGGUUGUGCCCUUGAGGCGUGGCUUCCGGAGCUAACGCGUUAAAUCGACCGCCUGGGGAGUACGGCCGCAAGGUUAAAACUCAAAUGAAUUGACGGGGGCCCGCACAAGCGGUGGAGCAUGUGGUUUAAUUCGAUGCAACGCGAAGAACCUUACCUGGUCUUGACAUCCACAGAACUUUCCAGAGAUGGAUUGGUGCCUUCGGGAACUGUGAGACAGGUGCUGCAUGGCUGUCGUCAGCUCGUGUUGUGAAAUGUUGGGUUAAGUCCCGCAACGAGCGCAACCCUUAUCCUUUGUUGCCAGCGGUUAGGCCGGGAACUCAAAGGAGACUGCCAGUGAUAAACUGGAGGAAGGUGGGGAUGACGUCAAGUCAUCAUGGCCCUUACGACCAGGGCUACACACGUGCUACAAUGGCAUAUACAAAGAGAAGCGACCUCGCGAGAGCAAGCGGACCUCAUAAAGUAUGUCGUAGUCCGGAUUGGAGUCUGCAACUCGACUCCAUGAAGUCGGAAUCGCUAGUAAUCGUAGAUCAGAAUGCUACGGUGAAUACGUUCCCGGGCCUUGUACACACCGCCCGUCACACCAUGGGAGUGGGUUGCAAAAGAAGUAGGUAGCUUAACCUUCGGGAGGGCGCUUACCACUUUGUGAUUCAUGACUGGGGUGAAGUCGUAACAAGGUAACCGUAGGGGAACCUGCGGUUGGAUCACCUCCUUACCUUAAAGAA